RNAcentral lists this long non-coding RNA (2227 nucleotides) under Marmota monax (woodchuck). Lineage: Eukaryota; Metazoa; Chordata; Mammalia; Rodentia; Sciuridae. The record is from RNAcentral.
GCGCGCGCCAAUGACCUUUGUGUACUUUGGGUUUUUUUUUUUUAAUGGGUUGUAGAAUUUAUUAGCACUGCUCUUUUUCCCCACUUGCAGCUAAACAAGCAGAUAACAAAGCAUAGGAGAGUCUAGCUGCUAUAAGUCGUCUAUUCUGAUGGUUGUGUGAAUUCCCAGCUGUCUUUGCUGCUCUGUGUUCCUGUUUAAAACAGCCACAAGAUGCCUAGAGGCUCAUAACUGCUGAGUGUCAAGAAUUCUGGUUACCAUUUAUUUUCUUUCCAAUCAUCUUAAUUUAUUGUGACCUGCUUCUGACACUCACUGUAAGAAGUGUGGAUCCUAUGAAGAAUGAUUUGUUUCCCAACAGUGGCUUUUUGUUCUGGUAUGUUUUUUUUUUCUGAUUUUUCUCUGAAUAACUUAGACCAGAAAGAUUCAAGGUUGUAUGAAGGCUUAAAUGGUGGCGUUUCCUAAAGCACUUGGAUUUGCAUAUUGAACUUUAAUUCUGACCAAGAAAAUGCAUCAGAUAAGGGCACAAAUACUGUCUAGAAUCAGUAAUGCCACUAGGUAUCAUAAGUGUCUUUAUAAGCAAGUCAUAACUCACUCUAGAAGCUUGUACAUGAUGACAACUCUGUCCUGGGGCAGUAUGGCCCUCUUGGAUGAGAUGGAGGGUAUUCAGGGAGUGGCCCAGGAUUUUUAAAACCUGAUUUACGGAUCAUUAAAAAGACAUUUAGAGUGUCAUUUUAUUCUACUGCAAAACUCAAGAUCUGAAAUUCAAGGAUCUUGAGAAAAGAAGCUUGGCCUUGAUUAUACCAGGUACUUUGUUUAUCUUUUUAGACUAAGUUAUUCUAUCACUGGAAUUAAAGGUUAUAAUACCUCCUCAUUAUAACCAUCUAUUUAUUAUUAUUACCAACCUCUGCUUCCUUAUCAAUCACAAAAGAGAGAAAAGAGAGGAGGAAAGGAAGAGGGGUAUUGGAAAGUUUGCAUGCCAUUGUCUAUGGACUGGCCCCAUGACCAUUUUAUUUUUAUACUGUGAGAUUUUUAUUGAUCUCCCCCAAAGAGAAACAGCAUGUACCUCUUAUUUCCACAGAUAUGCAAACACUGUUGGCCCUCCCAAAUUCCACUGCUGUGGUCUGGCUUCUUUUAAUCGCUGCCUUAGGGACAAUGGAGCACUUGCUAAAACUGCUCAGAUCUGUGGCCAUGUCCUCAAUCUUGCCCUCAUAAUAGACAUUGUGGCAAUGCUGCUGAUUCACAAGGCUCAGAGGAGCAAGUCCCCCUCCAGGUCCCCAACACUGAGGCUGAGCUGAGGGGGAUGAAAAGGAAGAGGUAGGAGAAGGGCAUGAGUUGGCAGUCUUGUGUUGUGUGCUCAUUUGAAGUGUCCAUUGUAUCCAGUAGGGUUUUUGGUUAUAAGGAAUACAAAAUGGCUAUUGCUGACAAAAAAGAAAAUAUGAUGAAAAAUGAUCAAUAAGUGUGAAGAUAAGGGUACAGAGUUAUGCUUGAAAUAGGCAGGUAGAUGAGGUAGGGGCCUUCCAUGUGCUCAUCAGAAGCUACCCAUUGGCACUCAUGUCAAUGUUUGGCACACUUAGAUGGUAGUGCACAUAUUCCAGGUUGUCUGCAUUCUCCCAAACCUUCAGAUGGACCCUUGACUCUCUAAGUCGCCCCCUAUUAUAUAUACCUUCCCUGAAUAAACUCUUAAUUCAUCUUGGUGAUAGUUUUAACUGAUACUUCAGCUCAACAAAAUAACCAUUUAUCUCACCAAAAUUACCAAACGAGCCAGGAACCAUUAUUGUAACUCAUUUAUGGAUAAAAGUUGUUGGUAAAGAUGGCACCCAGAGUGCUUCUCUUCCGGGAGCUCAGGUCCAGUGACGCACUAAAGGCCAGCGAACCAUCACCUCCAAUCCCUGUGAAUGACGCGAAUUUUGAAUGGUGCACCUCCAAUCCCUGAAGUGGCGCGAACUCUCAGCCAAUGAAGAAGUAACAGCCCACUUGCCUUGCUCCUCUUCAUCCUGUGUUAAGCCCAUAAAUAUCAAUUUCCCUGUUCAUGUUCAUUCUCUUACUCUACUCUCUCUUACUCUCUCUCCCCCUCUCCUCUCUCUCCCUCCCCUCCCCUCCCCUCCCCUCUCCUCUCCCCUCCCUUCUCCUCUGCGACUGGCCACUACAGUCCUGCUAAUAAAAUCUCCGACAGGUAAACGGUUGUUUUGGCUUAUUGAGUUUACGGAGCUUUUCCAUCGUCCUUUACAAA